GGCUCAAUGGUCAAGUGGUAUGAUUCUCGCUUUGGGUGCUAGGGGCCACGGGUUCGAUUCCCGUCUGAGCCC
Molecule: non-coding RNA, 72 nt
Organism: Nematostella vectensis (starlet sea anemone)
Lineage: Eukaryota; Metazoa; Cnidaria; Anthozoa; Actiniaria; Edwardsiidae
Source: Rfam